CACGUAGGCACCAAGCGUUGUCCGGAUUUAUUGGGCGUAAAGAGCGCGCAGGCGGUCGUUCAAGUCGCGUGUGAAAGCCCCCGGCUCAACUGGGGAGGGUCACGCGAUACUGAUCGACUCGAAGGCAGGAGAGGGUAGUGGAAUUCCCGGUGUAGUGGUGAAAUGCGUAGAUAUCGGGAGGAACACCAGUGGCGAAGGCGACUACCUGGCCUGUUCUUGACGCUGAGGUGCGAAAGCGUGGGGAGCAAACAGG
Molecule: ribosomal RNA, 253 nt
Filed under: uncultured bacterium
Lineage: Bacteria
Description: partial 16S ribosomal RNA
Rfam family: Bacterial small subunit ribosomal RNA
Source: RNAcentral